Molecule: non-coding RNA, 140 nt
Organism: Triticum aestivum (bread wheat)
Lineage: Eukaryota; Viridiplantae; Streptophyta; Magnoliopsida; Poales; Poaceae
Source: Rfam
CAAAUACUCCCUCCAUCCAAAAAUACUUGUCAUCAAAUCAAAAUGGAUAAAAAGGGAUGUAUCUAGAACUAAAAUACGUCUAGAUACAUCUCUUUUUAUCCAUUUUGAUGAUAAGUAUUUCCGGACGGAGGGAGUACUUA